Molecule: ribosomal RNA, 2900 nt
Filed under: Klebsiella quasipneumoniae
Lineage: Bacteria; Pseudomonadati; Pseudomonadota; Gammaproteobacteria; Enterobacterales; Enterobacteriaceae
Description: 23S ribosomal RNA
Rfam family: Bacterial large subunit ribosomal RNA
Source: RNAcentral
UUAAGCGACUAAGCGUACACGGUGGAUGCCCUGGCAGUCAGAGGCGAUGAAGGACGUGCUAAUCUGCGAAAAGCGUCGGUAAGGUGAUAUGAACCGUUAUAGCCGGCGAUGUCCGAAUGGGGAAACCCAGUGUGAUUCGUCACACUAUCGUUAACUGAAUACAUAGGUUAACGAGGCGAACCGGGGGAACUGAAACAUCUAAGUACCCCGAGGAAAAGAAAUCAACCGAGAUUCCCCCAGUAGCGGCGAGCGAACGGGGAGCAGCCCAGAGUCUGAAUCAGCUUGUGUGUUAGUGGAACGGUCUGGAAAGUCCGACGGUACAGGGUGAUAGUCCCGUACACCAAAAUGCACAGGCUGUGAACUCGAAGAGUAGGGCGGGACACGUGGUAUCCUGUCUGAAUAUGGGGGGACCAUCCUCCAAGGCUAAAUACUCCUGACUGACCGAUAGUGAACCAGUACCGUGAGGGAAAGGCGAAAAGAACCCCGGCGAGGGGAGUGAAAAAGAACCUGAAACCGUGUACGUACAAGCAGUGGGAGCACCUUUAUGGUGUGACUGCGUACCUUUUGUAUAAUGGGUCAGCGACUUAUAUUCUGUAGCAAGGUUAACCGUAUAGGGGAGCCGCAGGGAAACCGAGUCUUAACUGGGCGUUAAGUUGCAGGGUAUAGACCCGAAACCCGGUGAUCUAGCCAUGGGCAGGUUGAAGGUUGGGUAACACUAACUGGAGGACCGAACCGACUAAUGUUGAAAAAUUAGCGGAUGACUUGUGGCUGGGGGUGAAAGGCCAAUCAAACCGGGAGAUAGCUGGUUCUCCCCGAAAGCUAUUUAGGUAGCGCCUCGUGAAUUCAUCUUCGGGGGUAGAGCACUGUUUCGGCUAGGGGGUCAUCCCGACUUACCAACCCGAUGCAAACUACGAAUACCGAAGAAUGUUAUCACGGGAGACACACGGCGGGUGCUAACGUCCGUCGUGAAGAGGGAAACAACCCAGACCGCCAGCUAAGGUCCCAAAGUCAUGGUUAAGUGGGAAACGAUGUGGGAAGGCACAGACAGCCAGGAUGUUGGCUUAGAAGCAGCCAUCAUUUAAAGAAAGCGUAAUAGCUCACUGGUCGAGUCGGCCUGCGCGGAAGAUGUAACGGGGCUAAACCAUGCACCGAAGCUGCGGCAGCGACACGAUGUGUUGUUGGGUAGGGGAGCGUUCUGUAAGCCUGCGAAGGUGACCUGUGAGGGUUGCUGGAGGUAUCAGAAGUGCGAAUGCUGACAUAAGUAACGAUAAAGCGGGUGAAAAGCCCGCUCGCCGGAAGACCAAGGGUUCCUGUCCAACGUUAAUCGGGGCAGGGUGAGUCGACCCCUAAGGCGAGGCCGAAAGGCGUAGUCGAUGGGAAACAGGUUAAUAUUCCUGUACUUGGUGUUACUGCGAAGGGGGGACGGAGAAGGCUAUGUUAGCCGGGCGACGGUUGUCCCGGUUUAAGCAUGUAGGCUGGUUAUCCAGGCAAAUCCGGAUAAUCAAGGCUGAGGUGUGAUGACGAAGCACUACGGUGCUGAAGUAACAAAUGCCCUGCUUCCAGGAAAAGCCUCUAAGCAUCAGGUAACAUCAAAUCGUACCCCAAACCGACACAGGUGGUCAGGUAGAGAAUACCAAGGCGCUUGAGAGAACUCGGGUGAAGGAACUAGGCAAAAUGGUGCCGUAACUUCGGGAGAAGGCACGCUGGUGUGUAGGUGAAGCCCCUGCGGGUGGAGCUGAGACCAGUCGAAGAUACCAGCUGGCUGCAACUGUUUAUUAAAAACACAGCACUGUGCAAACACGAAAGUGGACGUAUACGGUGUGACGCCUGCCCGGUGCCGGAAGGUUAAUUGAUGGGGUUAUCCGUAAGGAGAAGCUCUUGAUCGAAGCCCCGGUAAACGGCGGCCGUAACUAUAACGGUCCUAAGGUAGCGAAAUUCCUUGUCGGGUAAGUUCCGACCUGCACGAAUGGCGUAAUGAUGGCCAGGCUGUCUCCACCCGAGACUCAGUGAAAUUGAACUCGCUGUGAAGAUGCAGUGUACCCGCGGCAAGACGGAAAGACCCCGUGAACCUUUACUAUAGCUUGACACUGAACAUUGAGCCUUGAUGUGUAGGAUAGGUGGGAGGCUUUGAAGCGUGGACGCCAGUCUGCGUGGAGCCAACCUUGAAAUACCACCCUUUAAUGUUUGAUGUUCUAACGUUGGCCCCUUAUCGGGGUUGCGGACAGUGUCUGGUGGGUAGUUUGACUGGGGCGGUCUCCUCCCAAAGCGUAACGGAGGAGCACGAAGGUUAGCUAAUCCUGGUCGGACAUCAGGAGGUUAGUGCAAUGGCAUAAGCUAGCUUGACUGCGAGCGUGACGGCGCGAGCAGGUGCGAAAGCAGGUCAUAGUGAUCCGGUGGUUCUGAAUGGAAGGGCCAUCGCUCAACGGAUAAAAGGUACUCCGGGGAUAACAGGCUGAUACCGCCCAAGAGUUCAUAUCGACGGCGGUGUUUGGCACCUCGAUGUCGGCUCAUCACAUCCUGGGGCUGAAGUAGGUCCCAAGGGUAUGGCUGUUCGCCAUUUAAAGUGGUACGCGAGCUGGGUUUAGAACGUCGUGAGACAGUUCGGUCCCUAUCUGCCGUGGGCGCUGGAGAAUUGAGGGGGGCUGCUCCUAGUACGAGAGGACCGGAGUGGACGCAUCACUGGUGUUCGGGUUGUCAUGCCAAUGGCACUGCCCGGUAGCUAAAUGCGGAAGAGAUAAGUGCUGAAAGCAUCUAAGCACGAAACUUGCCCCGAGAUGAGUUCUCCCUGAGACUUUAAGUCUCCUGAAGGAACGUUAAAGACGAUGACGUUGAUAGGCCGGGUGUGUAAGCGCAGCGAUGCGUUGAGCUAACCGGUACUAAUGAACCGUGAGGCUUAACCU